Molecule: ribosomal RNA, 509 nt
Filed under: uncultured bacterium
Lineage: Bacteria
Description: bacterial SSU rRNA
Rfam family: Bacterial small subunit ribosomal RNA
Source: RNAcentral
GAUUAUGGCUCAGGAUGAACGCUAAGCUACAGGCUUAACACAUGCAAGUCGAGGGGUAGCAGGUAGCAAUACCGCUGACGACCGGCGCACGGGUGAGUAACACGUAUCCAACCUUCCCAUAACUCAGGGAUAGCCUUUCGAAGGAAAGAUUAAUACCUGAUAGUACUUUUUCAAGGCUAUCUUGAAAAAGUUAAAGAUUUAUUGGUUAUGGAUGGGGAUGCGUUCCAUUAGAUAGUUGGUGAGGUAACGGCUCACCAAGUCUUCGAUGGAUAGGGGUUCUGAGAGGAAGGUCCCCCACAUUGGUACUGAGACACGGACCAAACUCCUACGGGAGGCAGCAGUGAGGAAUAUUGGUCAAUGGGCGAGAGCCUGAACCAGCCAAGUAGCGUGAAAAGGAUGAAGGUCCUAUGGAUUGUAAACUUCUUUUAUAGUAGAAUAAAGUGAGCCACGUGUGGUUUUUUGUAUGUAUACUAUGAAUAAGGAUCGGCUAACUCCGUGCCAGCCGCCGC